CUUACCAGGUCAAGACAUGGGCGUGAUUGACAGGCUAAUGACUUUUCUCGAUUCCAUGGAUGGUGGUGCAUGGUCGCACUUAGUUGGUGCAGUGAUUUGUCAGGUUUAUUCCGGUAACGAACGAGACCUCGGCCUUGUAAAUAGCUAUGCUGCUUACAGGGACAUUGGCGGCUACGCCAAGGAAGCUCGAGGCAAUUGCAGAUCUGGAAUGCCCUUAGAUGUCCUGGGUCGCACGCGUGCUACAAUGACGCCACGAACGAGCUUGCGUGAUGAAAGUUACGCAUAAUCAGCAGUCGGCGUCUUAAGGGAUAGUCUCUUGUAACUGUGGGACUCCAACUAGGAAUGUCUCGUAAGCACAAGUCAACAUCUUGUGUUGAUUACGUCCCUGCUCUUUGUACACACCGCCCGUCGCUCCUACCGAUCGAGUGUUUAGGUGAAUUUGAUGGACGUAAGGAAGUCAAAUAAACCUGAGCACUAGAGGAAGGAGAAGUCUAACCUGC
Molecule: ribosomal RNA, 500 nt
Filed under: uncultured Myrionecta
Lineage: Eukaryota; Ciliophora; Litostomatea; Cyclotrichida; Mesodiniidae
Description: bacterial SSU rRNA
Rfam family: Eukaryotic small subunit ribosomal RNA
Source: RNAcentral